This is a small nucleolar RNA of Pistacia vera, 107 nucleotides long. The record is from RefSeq and is a predicted model, not a curated record. Lineage: Eukaryota; Viridiplantae; Streptophyta; Magnoliopsida; Sapindales; Anacardiaceae.
AUCUGAUGAUGAGGACAACUUGCACACAACUUCUUGAAUCUUUCCCAAUAUUUGUACAAAGUCUCUCCAGUAUAUUAAUGAGUGCCAUAAAUCUCUUUCCUUAUGUU